This 254-nucleotide ribosomal RNA is filed under the name uncultured prokaryote. RNAcentral describes it as "partial 16S ribosomal RNA". It matches the Rfam family "Bacterial small subunit ribosomal RNA", at positions 525 to 777 of the family's 1533-position model. The record is from RNAcentral.
ACGGGGGGAGCAAGCGUUGUUCGGAUUUACUGGGCGUAAAGGGCGCGUAGGCGGCCACCGCAAGUCGACUGUGAAAUCUCCGGGCUUAACCCGGAAAGGUCAGCCGAUACUGCGGGGCUAGAGUGCAGAAGGGGCAACUGGAAUUCUCGGUGUAGCGGUGAAAUGCGUAGAUAUCGGGAGGAACAUCAGUGGCGAAGGCGGCUACCUGGCCCAAUACUGACACUCAGGUGCGACAGCGUGGGGAGCAAACAGGA